GACGAACGCUGGCGGCGUGCUUAACACAUGCAAGUCGAACGGAAAGGCCCCGCUUUUGUGGGGUGCUCGAGUGGCGAACGGGUGAGUAACACGUGAGUAACCUGCCCUUGACUUUGGGAUAACUUCAGGAAACUGGGGCUAAUACCGGAUAGGAGCUCCUGCUGCAUGGUGGGGGUUGGAAAGUUUCGGCGGUUGGGGAUGGACUCGCGGCUUAUCAGCUUGUUGGUGGGGUAGUGGCUUACCAAGGCUUUGACGGGUAGCCGGCCUGAGAGGGUGACCGGCCACAUUGGGACUGAGAUACGGCCCAGACUCCUACGGGAGGCAGCAGUGGGGAAUAUUGCUCAAUGGGCGGAAGCCUGAUGCAGCAACGCCGCGUGCGGGAUGACGGCCUUCGGGUUGUAACCCGCUUUCGCCUGUGACGAAGCGUGAGUGACGGUAAUGGGUAAAGAAGCACCGGCUAACUACGUG
RNAcentral lists this ribosomal RNA (468 nucleotides) under uncultured bacterium. RNAcentral describes it as "partial 16S ribosomal RNA". It matches the Rfam family "Bacterial small subunit ribosomal RNA", at positions 28 to 507 of the family's 1533-position model. The record is from RNAcentral.